Molecule: ribosomal RNA, 484 nt
Filed under: uncultured bacterium
Lineage: Bacteria
Description: partial 16S ribosomal RNA
Rfam family: Bacterial small subunit ribosomal RNA
Source: RNAcentral
AGUGAACGCUGGCGGCAGGCCUAACACAUGCAAGUCGAGCGGCAGCGGGUCCUUCGGGAUGCCGGCGAGCGGCGGACGGGUGAGGAAUACAUCGGAAUCUGCCCUGUCGUGGGGGAUAACCUAGGGAAACUUAGGCUAAUACCGCAUACGACCUGCGGGUGAAAGCGGGGGAUCGCAAGACCUCGCGCGACAGGAUGAGCCGAUGUCCGAUUAGCUAGUUGGCGGGGUAAAGGCCCACCAAGGCGACGAUCGGUAGCUGGUCUGAGAGGAUGAUCAGCCACACUGGGACUGAGACACGGCCCAGACUCCUACGGGAGGCAGCAGUGGGGAAUAUUGGACAAUGGGCGCAAGCCUGAUCCAGCCAUGCCGCGUGGGUGAAGAAGGCCUUCGGGUUGUAAAGCCCUUUUGUCCGGGAAGAAAUCGUCUGGGCUAAUACCCCGGGCGGAUGACGGUACCGGAAGAAUAAGCACCGGCUAACUUCGUG